Molecule: RNase P RNA, 383 nt
Filed under: Gemmatimonadales bacterium
Lineage: Bacteria; Pseudomonadati; Gemmatimonadota; Gemmatimonadia; Gemmatimonadales
Description: RNase P RNA component class A
Rfam family: Bacterial RNase P class A
About the family: Ribonuclease P (RNase P) is a ubiquitous endoribonuclease, found in archaea, bacteria and eukarya as well as chloroplasts and mitochondria.
Source: RNAcentral
GUCGCGUGCGAGUGGGAACCGCUGGCGGACAUGCGCCGCUGGAGGAAAGUCCGAGCUCCACAGGGCAGGAUGCCGGGUAACGCCCGGGCGGCGAGAGCCGAUGGAAAGUGCCACAGAGAGUAGACCGCCGAUGGUCCGGUUGGCUUCACGGUCGCCGGACACAGGUAAGGGUGAAAGGGUGCGGUAAGAGCGCACCGGGCCGGCGGUAACGUCGGUCGCACGGUAAACCCCAUCCGGAGCAAGGCCAAGCAGGGACGAGGAGCUGCCCGCUCCAUCCGAGUCCCGGGUAGGCUGCACGAGGUUCGCAGUAAUGCGGAUCCCAGAGAAAUGGUUCCCCGUCGCUUCGGCGAUGACAGAACUCGGCUUAUUCGCACGCCACCCCC